GGGACCGGAGCACCCCAGGAUCGAAGAGGGCGCACGGGCCCGGCCCUCCCACGCGCCCUCCAGGGACCCGGCAGCCAGACAGACGGACAGGCGGACCGCUAGGGAGCUCAAGUACCCGGACACACGCACGAGCGCAGAACAAAGGGCCGGACAUGCUCCAGCCCGCUCCGCCUGCGCCUCGGCCUUGCGCGCGGGGGCCCGGGUUACCUGCGCAGUUUUAAAAAUAUUUUCCAAGAUCCCUUCAGUGAACAUGGGAUGCUUCCAUAAUGAAGAGAGAGACACACCGUGAUGACCUCCACAUACCAUAUUUGAUGACAGUCUUCCUUGAGCCAGCUGUGAUGUAAAGAAGUUUGUGCUGCAUGAGAGAGAUAGCACCUGAAGAAAAUGAGGCCCUGGAGGAUGAGAGACUCUAAAGGAAAAGGGAAGGGCCUGCUGUCUUCCAGCCACGCCAGCCCCCAACUGAGAAGCUGGGUGAAGCCAUCUUGCAUCUUUAGCCCCAGUCAAGUUACCUCAGCAAAGACUAGCUGACCCUGCCAAGCCCUGCCCAAGUUACAGAAUCAUGAGCAAAUAAAUGGCUGUUUCUGUUUUAAGCUUUUAAAUUUUGGGGGUGGUUUAUGUGUCAAUAAUAACUGAAACAGAUAAUAUAUACAGAAUAAACUUUAGUUUUAAUAAUCUAAGUAAAAGCCCACUAAUUCAUUAUGCAGAAAAAAAUGAUUUUUUUGAGACGGGGUCUCGCUCUGUUGCCAGGCUGGAGUGCUGUGGCACAACCAUAGCUCACUGCAGCCUCCACCUCCCUGGUUCAAGCGAUCUUCCCACCUCAGCCUCCCGAGUAGUUGAGACCACAGGUAUGUGCCACAACACCUGACUAAUUUUGUAAAUUUUUUGUAGAGAUGGGGUCCUGCCAUAUUGCUGAGGCUGGUCUCUAACUUCUGGGCUCAAGCCAUCCUCCUGCCUCAGCCUCCCAAAGUAUUAGGAUUACAGUGCCCUUGGUGUGGUGGAAGCAAGGUGCCAUGUGAUAAGUAAGCCUCCAGAGAGGCCUGCAUGGCAGGAUCCAAUGUCUUUAGCCAACAGCAUCUGGGAACCUGAGACCUGCCAACACCCUUGUGAGUGAGCCUGGAAGUGGACCUCCUGCUCUUGAACCUUGAGGUGACUAUAGUGCUGGCUGACACCUUGACUGCAGUCCCUGAGCUGGGGGGCCCAGCUGAUCUACUCCCAGAAUCCCCCCUACUAAAACAGUGAUAUAAUAAAUGCUUAUUGUUUCAAGCUGGUA
Molecule: long non-coding RNA, 1270 nt
Filed under: Homo sapiens (human)
Lineage: Eukaryota; Metazoa; Chordata; Mammalia; Primates; Hominidae
Description: HSALNT0380895
Source: RNAcentral